UGGUGGGCUGCAGAACAUGUG
This 21-nucleotide microRNA is filed under the name Bos taurus (domestic cattle). The record is from RNAcentral. Lineage: Eukaryota; Metazoa; Chordata; Mammalia; Artiodactyla; Bovidae.